This 465-nucleotide ribosomal RNA is filed under the name Vreelandella stevensii. RNAcentral's name for it is "partial 16S ribosomal RNA". It matches the Rfam family "Bacterial small subunit ribosomal RNA", at positions 338 to 795 of the family's 1533-position model. The record is from RNAcentral. Lineage: Bacteria; Pseudomonadati; Pseudomonadota; Gammaproteobacteria; Oceanospirillales; Halomonadaceae.
CCUACGGGUGGCAGCAGUGGGGAAUAUUGGACAAUGGACGAAAGCCUGAUCCAGCCAUGCCGCGUGUGUGAAGAAGGCCUUCGGGUUGUAAAGCACUUUCAGUGGGGAAGAAAGCCUUGGGGCUAAUACCCUCGAGGAAGGACAUCACCCACAGAAGAAGCACCGGCUAACUCCGUGCCAGCAGCCGCGGUAAUACGGAGGGUGCGAGCGUUAAUCGGAAUUACUGGGCGUAAAGCGCGCGUAGGCGGUCUGAUAAGCCGGUUGUGAAAGCCCCGGGCUCAACCUGGGAACGGCAUCCGGAACUGUCAGGCUAGAGUGCAGGAGAGGAAGGUGGAAUUCCCGGUGUAGCGGUGAAAUGCGUAGAGAUCGGGAGGAAUACCAGUGGCGAAGGCGACCUUCUGGACUUACACUGACGCUGAUGUGCGAAAGCGUGGGUAGCAAACAGGAUUAGAUACCCCAGUAGUC